Molecule: small RNA, 509 nt
Filed under: Pongo abelii (Sumatran orangutan)
Lineage: Eukaryota; Metazoa; Chordata; Mammalia; Primates; Hominidae
Description: processed transcript
Source: RNAcentral
UUGGUGUGAAGAGUUUUUGGUUUGGGAUUUUUAUUUUAUUUUUUUUUUAGCUGGAAAGAAGAAACUAACUUGAGCUAAUGGUUUGUUAAUUUGGUUUUAGGCGGGAAAUGAUGCCCCUGCUGUCCCUGAUCUUCUCUGCCCUCUUCAUCCUCUUCGGCACUGUCAUCGUUCAGGCUUUCAGCGACUCUAGUGAUGAGCGAGAGUCAAGCCCUCCAGAUAAAGAGGAAGCCCAAGAGAAGACUGGGAAGACUGAGCCAAGCUUCACCAAAGAAAACAGCAGGUUUCUCUAACAAAACACCAGACUCACCUCCCCGGCACCUGCCCCCCAGAUGCUGUCAUCUGAUAACGCAGCACUGGAACAUAGAGUGUAGAGAAGAACUCUCAUGCACCUCCCCCCAUGUAAACUGUGGCUACAGGGAAAAGUCACUGUGACUUGUGUUUACUAAGACCCUCUAGGUGUUUAGGUGCCUUAGAUUUCAUAAUGAAGGCAGAAGGAAAGAAGCCUAUCA